UCCUCAUCAGUGUACUGACAUUAGAGGCUGU
RNAcentral lists this non-coding RNA (31 nucleotides) under Rattus norvegicus (Norway rat). The record is from RNAcentral. Lineage: Eukaryota; Metazoa; Chordata; Mammalia; Rodentia; Muridae.